Non-coding RNA from Myxocyprinus asiaticus (Chinese sucker), 740 nucleotides. The record is from the annotation of a RefSeq genome assembly. NCBI's taxonomy places the organism in Eukaryota, Metazoa, Chordata, Actinopteri, Cypriniformes, Catostomidae.
AUUUACAGUGGCUGUAUCACAGACUAGAGCAGGAGGAGAGGAUAUGAUCUGAUUCUGGACUAAGAAAAGACUUAAAUUAAAUUCUUAAAGCAGGAAAGAUGACACACUGGACAAAACAAGCGACCAUUGUUUUCAUAUAUAUCUGGACUAUUGAAUCACAGGACAGUGUUGAUCAGAACACAAGAGUUCAAACUGCUUAUGAAGGUGAAGCUGUAACUAUCAACUGUAGAUAUAAAACUCAGCUCUCUCCAACACUCAUUUGGUACCAGCAAAAAGUAAAUGGAUUCCCUAAAUACAUGCUGAACAGAGUUGGUAACUUUAGAGAUGAAGACAAAGAGUUCAAGGAGAGAUUUAAUGCAGUUCUUGACAGCUCUUCAAAAUCAGUUCCACUUACAAUCCAGGAUCUGCGUGUGUCUGACUCUGCUGUGUACUACUGCGCUCUGCAGCCCACAGUGACUAAAACACAUUCAACUCUCAUACAAAAACCUUUGCCUUCUCCCCUCUUUACCCCAUCUGCCAGUGUUUGGCCAAAAAGGGAGUCCUGCUCCAAACUCAUUGAACAUUUCCUUUGCACAUUACAGAAAACUGGGAUAACAGGAAAAUGCAAUAGCUGUAUGAAACCAGUAGAGGGUGUUAAACAGUCUAUUAUGGUUUGCUGUAGCUAUAUAAGGCUGGUUUGAAUAUUACUUAAAUAUUUGUUUCAUGCAAUGUUUUCGAUAUUUGUACUUAUUUAUUUAUUG